Molecule: RNA transcript, 2610 nt
Organism: Piliocolobus tephrosceles (Ugandan red Colobus)
Lineage: Eukaryota; Metazoa; Chordata; Mammalia; Primates; Cercopithecidae
Gene: CCDC12
Gene name: coiled-coil domain containing 12
Exons: 8
Source: RefSeq, a predicted model, not a curated record
UCCAGUCUCUCAUUCUCGUCCUUGGAUUGGCCGCGAGACAUUUAUCCGCUGUCCUAAGGCCUGCGCGAUGCACGACGGGAGAAAAGGAGGGGCGUCGGCGUGCAAGAUGGAGGCGACUACGGCCGGUGUGGGCCGGCUAGAGGAAGAGGCGUUGCGGCGAAAGGAACGGCUGAAGGCCCUACGGGAGAAAACCGGCCGCAAGGACAAGGAAGAUGGGGAGCCAAAGACCAAGCAUCUCAGAGAAGAGGAGGAAGAAGGCGAGAAGCACAGGGAACUUAGGCUGCGGAACUAUGUCCCGGAGGAUGAGGACCUGAAGAAGAGGAGGGUGCCCCAGGCCAAACCGGUUGCAGUGGAGGAGAAGGUGAAGGAGCAGCUGGAGGCCGCCAAGCCUGAGCCCGUCAUCGAGGAGGUGGACCUGGCCAACCUCGCUCCUCGGAAGCCUGACUGGGACCUCAAGAGAGAUGUGGCCAAGAAGCUGGAGAAACUAAAAAAGCGGACUCAGAGGGCCAUUGCCGAGCUGAUCCGUGAAAGGCUGAAAGGCCAGGACGACAGCCUAGCCUCUGCCGUGGAUGCUGCCACCGAGCAAAAGGCCUGUGACUCUGACUAAGUCAUGCCCUGCCCCACCACUCGCCCAUCAGGCCUGUCCUGCAGGGGAUGGUCUUGGGCAGGGAUGGGGGCUCGGCUUGCCGUCAACUCUAGUUUGGCUUCUGAGCAGAGACUCCCUGCCCCAUCAAGUCUGAAACCCCUAUCGGUGAGGUCAGCUCCGUGUCUCCCGGGUGGCCCCUGCCAUUCUGAAUGGCGGCAGAACCAGCAACAACUCUGGGCAUGCCUGUGUCUGCCCAUGUGAAUGUAAAUAGAAAUCUGUCAAAUAUUUCCUAGGUCUCGGGGUAGAUACUGUGGAUCUGGGCUCCACAGGGUGGAGAUGGAGCGACUGCAGAGGUGGUACUUGAUAUGUAUGAGUGAGUAAUCCCUGUGUUGGGCUGGGCAUGUUAAGGCUGGAGGGGUGGGGAACACUCAGGGCUGCCUUCUGCAGCCAUGUCCUGGCCCAGUCCAUGGUCACUGCUGGUUAUCUCAAGAUCCUUGGGUGAUAGAGACGGGGUCUGAGAAAGUCAUUUUUAAUACCUCCCCCGGGCCUAGGCCUUGCAGUGGUCUGUGGAGUAGCUGGAGAGGCUCCCACCCUGGUCCUCUGGGGAUCUUCUCACAGUAUGAGAGAGACUGGGCCUUGGCAAGCCCCAACUCAGGGCCACUCCAGAUUUGAUGCUGCUGUCACUGCUUUCCUCACUCACCCCAGCCCCAGGCGGCCCCUCUCCCUGCUCCACCAGUCAGAGCUAGACUGUAGCUCCCCUAGGACAGAGACCCUGCAUGGGAGGGGUGGCCCAUUCUGCUAGAGACGGGGACAUUGCAGGCUGGGUUUCAGGUGUGGUCGUGGACCCUAGAUCCCCAAGGUUCUGGCUUUAGGACAUGAGCCUCUUCUGUGGAGCUGACUCUCCAGGGUAGCUGGCUGGCUGCAUCAUCUCUGACUGCAGUACCUGUGGCCAACUGGACUUGCAUCUCCUCCAGGAUGGUUACACCCUUGAGUUUCCUUCGGGAUGUCACCUUGAGCCUCCUGCCUCUGCCCUAAGCCGUCUAGUGUGUUCUUCCUCUCCACGGUGUUCCAGAAACACAGUGACCCAUCUCUGGAGGACAGUGCCAAGCACUCCGGUCAUAGAGGCAGAGUGGGUUUGUGCACACAGAGACCAGCACACUCACACAACCAAUGAGAAAACCCUUUAAGUUAAAAUUAUGCAACUAUUCUUGGAAGGUAAUUCCUGUGUGGAAAAGAAACAGAAACUUCUAGUUGUAGGUGAGGGCUGAAGUGGUAGCUGGCCAGCUUCUGCAUUGAGUAGUAAGACCAGACCAAGACCCUGACUCCCACAUGGGGCAGAAACCCUUCCAAUAUUUCCUAGGUCCAGUGGUACAUGCAGGACUGGAGCCAGGCUCCCUCUGUCCAGUUGGCAAAACUGGAGCUGGGCUGUUUUUCCUAUGGAAAAAAAGGGUGAAAAGACUCCCUGCAUCUCCUGGGAUUGCAGCUGGAAACAGGAUGCAUGUCUGUAGCAGUGGAAGGACAUGGAUACCUGGUGACUGGCAACUAAGCUGCCACUCAGCAUCAGCUCUGGGACUAGGGUAGGGUUAUCCCCCAGUACGACAGUCCCGAGAGCUAUUGAAAGGUAUGCUUCUGGUUUUAUGACCCUGGGUGUUGUCCUAGAAGGAAAAACAAAGUACCAUGCAUCAUGAGUACGCAAACAAAAAUUACAAAAUACAUGAGAAAAUCCAGUGCCUUAAAGAAUGACCAGUAACCCAAGUGGGAGGAUUUAUACCCAAACUGAAAUAGUAACAGCCUACAAGGUUUUAAAAAUGAGCAUUUGUUUUUACAUCAGAGAGAUAAAAGAGGGUGUGGUACCCUAAGAACAGAGAUUAGACAUAAGAAAGAACUGAUGAUAAAGUUUGGAAAGAAAGAAUACAGCUCUUAAGAAACUCGGCCGGGCGCGGUGGCUCAAGCCUGUAAUCCCAGCACUUUGGGAGGCCGAGACGUGGUAACACGGUGAAACCCCGUCUCUACUAAAAAAUACA